RNAcentral lists this ribosomal RNA (301 nucleotides) under uncultured bacterium. Its description in RNAcentral is "partial 16S ribosomal RNA". It matches the Rfam family "Bacterial small subunit ribosomal RNA", at positions 509 to 807 of the family's 1533-position model. The record is from RNAcentral.
CAGCCGCCGCGGUAAUACGGAGGGCGCGAGCGUUACCCGGAUUUACUGGGCGUAAAGGGCGUGUAGGCGGCCUGGGGCGUCCCAUGUGAAAGGCCACGGCUCAACCGUGGAGGAGCGUGGGAUACGCUCAGGCUAGAGGGUGGGAGAGGGUGGUGGAAUUCCCGGAGUAGCGGUGAAAUGCGCAGAUACCGGGAGGAACGCCGAUGGCGUAGGCAGCUACCUGGUCCACUUCUGACGCUGAGGCGCGAAAGCGUGGGGAGCAAACCGGAUUAGAUACCCCGGUAGUCCCUGUCUCUUAUAC